AGUUCGGAUUGAAGGCUGAAAUUCGCCUUCAUGAAGCCGGAAUUGCUAGUAAUGGCAGGUCAGCAUACUGCCGUGAAUACGUUCCCGGGCCUUGUACACACCGCCCGUCACACCAUGAGAGUUGGGAAUACCCGAAGCCUGUGAGCUAACGAAAGAGGCAGCAGUCGAAGGUAGAAUCAAUGAUUGGGGUGAAGUCGUAACAAGGUAGC
This 209-nucleotide ribosomal RNA is filed under the name uncultured bacterium. RNAcentral describes it as "partial 16S ribosomal RNA". It matches the Rfam family "Bacterial small subunit ribosomal RNA", at positions 1290 to 1500 of the family's 1533-position model. The record is from RNAcentral.